Molecule: ribosomal RNA, 497 nt
Filed under: uncultured bacterium
Lineage: Bacteria
Description: partial 16S ribosomal RNA
Rfam family: Bacterial small subunit ribosomal RNA
Source: RNAcentral
GAUGAACGCUGGCGGCGUGCCUAAUACAUGCAAGUCGAGCGAACGGACGAGAAGCUUGCUUCUCUGAUGUUAGCGGCGGACGGGUGAGUAACACGUGGAUAACCUAUCUAUAAGACUGGGAUAACUUCGGGAAACCGUAGCUAAUACCGGAUAAUAUUUUGAACCGCAUGGUUCAAAAGUGAAAGACGGUCUUGCUGUCACUUAUAGAUGGAUCCGCGCUGCAUUAGCUAGUUGGUAAGGUAACGGCUUACCAAGGCAACGAUGCAUAGCCGACCUGAGAGGGUGAUCGGCCACACUGGAACUGAGACACGGUCCAGACUCCUACGGGAGGCAGCAGUAGGGAAUCUUCCGCAAUGGGCGAAAGCCUGACGGAGCAACGCCGCGUGAGUGAUGAAGGUCUUCGGAUCGUAAAACUCUGUUAUUAGGGAAGAACAUAUGUGUAAGUAACUGUGCACAUCUUGACGGUACCUAAUCAGAAAGCCACGGCUAACUACGUG